GAUGAACGCUGGCGGCGUGCCUAAUACAUGCAAGUCGAGCGAACGGACGAGAAGCUUGCUUCUCUGAUGUUAGCGGCGGACGGGUGAGUAACACGUGGAUAACCUACCUAUAAGACUGGGAUAACUUCGGGAAACCGGAGCUAAUACCGGAUAAUAUUUUGAACCGCAUGGUUCAAAAGUGAAAGACGGUCUUGCUGUCACUUAUAGAUGGAUCCGCGCUGCAUUAGCCAGUUGGUAAGGUAACGGCUUACCAAGGCAACGAUGCAUAGCCGACCUGAGAGGGUGAUCGGCCACACUGGAACUGAGACACGGUCCAGACUCCUACGGGAGGCAGCAGUAGGGAAUCUUCCGCAAUGGGCGAAAGCCUGACGGAGCAACGCCGCGUGAGUGAUGAAGGUCUUCGGAUCGUAAAACUCUGUUAUUAGGGAAGAACAUAUGUGUAAGUAACUGCGCACAUCUUGACGGUACCUAAUCAGAAAGCCACGGCUAACUACGUG
Molecule: ribosomal RNA, 497 nt
Filed under: uncultured bacterium
Lineage: Bacteria
Description: partial 16S ribosomal RNA
Rfam family: Bacterial small subunit ribosomal RNA
Source: RNAcentral